UGAAGAUAUUUAUUAAAUUAAAGUG
This 25-nucleotide non-coding RNA is filed under the name Drosophila melanogaster (fruit fly). Lineage: Eukaryota; Metazoa; Arthropoda; Insecta; Diptera; Drosophilidae. The record is from RNAcentral.